This is a long non-coding RNA of Homo sapiens (human), 2394 nucleotides long. Ensembl annotates it as PPP3CB antisense RNA 1 (head to head). Its record names the gene PPP3CB-AS1. The record is from Ensembl. NCBI's taxonomy places the organism in Eukaryota, Metazoa, Chordata, Mammalia, Primates, Hominidae.
AGAAAACGGGCUCACUGCAGCUAACAGCCUCACCCCUUGGGCUAGGAAGCCACGGAAGCAAAACCUCCGCCCCGGCCUGAAAGCAACCGGGAGACCGCGGAACCACUGCCACCGACUCAGCCCUGCCCAGCAGGGGCCCGCCCAGGGGCCACUCCCCAAGGGAGGCAGCCAGUCACUCGCCCGCCCUUCCGGGCCCACUCCCGAGGGGACGGUCUCCCGCCCGCCCUCACACACAGCUAGCUCUUCAGGCCAGGCCCCCAGGGUUUCGUCCACCUCUCACCUUUGACGACGCGAAUGAAGAAUGAGGAGGUGCUGCGAUCGAACGACUGCGAGGAAACACACCCGCUCUCAUGGCAUUCCCAGUAAACUGAGAAGACGUGAUUAAACCUCAGGAUCUCCUACUAAUAGAGAAAUGUAUAACGAUUUAGCUACCAGAUCUGAAUACUGAAGGGUUGGUAGGGGACCAGAGAAUAGAGGAAGCAUUGUAGGUUCUAGAGUGGAGAAGGGACCAUCCAAAAUGGAGUUUGAAAGAGAAUUCUGGCCUUUGUGUUUAGAGUCUGGAAUUGUCAAGAGUCUGAAAGCACAGAAUAAGACUGCAGCUAGAGCAAUUUAGGCGCCAUAGUUUGUCAAAACAGGUAAGGGGAAUAAAGGGGAUGACACCAAGAGAUGUGCAAAGAAUCUGAAGAAUUCACCUGAAAAGGAUACAACCUCCUCCUGGAAGGCAGAGGAGUAAAUAGGGAAUUGGAAAUUAAUUCCUUAUUUCUGCACAUGCACAGAAUCUGGGCCCAGGUGACUUAUGGAACCUUUAUAGAGACCACGGUGACUGACACUCAUGGGAAAGGGGGUAGAGGGGCAAGAACUGACUGUUCAUCAAAAAUUAUUAGAUGAGUGUGUCCACGACACCAGGAGAUAUGUUGAAUCAUGGACAGGGACCAGCAUAUCCACUAAGCUCUAUAUAUCUUGAUGGUGCAGGAUCCAAGUGGGAUGGAACAACCAAUUCCUGCCCAUCCUCCUGCUCAAUAAUACAUGUGCUCAGAAUCUGUUCAUAAUGCAUGGUGAGACGGGAUCUCACUGUGUUGCCCAGGCUGGUCUCGAACUGCUGGACUCAAGUCAUCCUCCCAUCUUGGCCUCCCAAAGUGCUGGAAUUACAGUGGACAACCUUCAAUGCACUGGUACUUUGUACCCUGACCUCUACUGUGAUGAACACUCAACUUGGGCAAGGAAGUGAAAUUCUCCAAAGUGCAGUGGGUUCUGACCCAAUCAGCAGCCUUUGCUUCUCAGAUUCCUCUCAAGGCUUUAUGACUCUUCUCACCCCAGGAAACCCUACAACACGCACGGCCUUUCAGAACUGCUACAUGGAAUGGACAUUCCUCUGGGCUCCAGCUGAAUGUUUGUAAAUAAAAUAAUGACUGCGUGUCCUUAUUUUUGCUGAGUACACAGGGCCUUUCCUCACAUUACAACCUUCACUUUCUCCCUGCUUCUUCACCUGCACUGUAUUUUUGCUUAGCAAGGAGGAGGGUGCUCUGAAUAGAUGGACCCUGAUUCUACUUACAAAACUGUGGGAAGAAACCGGAGCUUCCUCCCUCUCUGAGACAACGGUGCCACUGAGACUGCGUGAGAUGCGACGUAAAUUCUCUGCACUGUACUGCUCAUCCUCCCCACACUCCCUGCUGAGGCCUCGGCAAGGUGUAGCCUUCAAACACACAGACACAUACAGGCAGACACAUAAUACCAGACUUAUGGUUUUCCCACAGACAGUAUCCUCAGGGUAUGGGAAAGAGUAGGGGAAGACUCAGUAGUAAUAGACACCUGAAUUAGAUGUAUUGGUAAGAUAGUGGCCAUGUAACAAUCUCCUCUAAUUCAAAAGAAGCCCAAUCAUAGACCUUAUUUUCUUCUGAUAGCCCCAUAUCACCAUGCCUCUGCCUUAUCAUCAUCCCUGUCACAUCUCUCCAUAAUUCCUUCCCCAACACACCACCCCAGGCCCAGCACCUUAGCACCUGAGGCUGCUACCUGAGAAGUACGCACUGUUCUGGCUUCAUGGAGACCAUGCUCCAUUUCUGCUGUUGAAGUCUUUGAGAGACCAGGAUCAUGGGCUGAGUGCAACCUCCUCCCCAUGCCAUCUGCAGAGCCUGAAGAGGAAAACACAAAUACAAGUUGAGGCCAUCUCUUCCCCUAGGGCCUAACCUCUAAGCCUAGCAGCACAAACUCAGGAGCUGUUGUUUCAUUUAAUAAUAAAUAUGCAUCCUUGAAUUCAACGGAGGAACAUGCUCCUGGAAUUUAGAAGCAAGAGGGGCUGGGCGCGGUGGCUCACACCUGUAAUCCCAGCACUUUGGGAGGCCAACACGGGCAGAUCACGAGGUCAGGAGAUCGAGACCACCCUGGCUAACAUGGUAA